Molecule: transfer RNA, 73 nt
Filed under: Candidatus Pacearchaeota archaeon
Lineage: Archaea; Nanobdellati
Description: tRNA-Glu
Rfam family: tRNA
About the family: Transfer RNA (tRNA) molecules are approximately 80 nucleotides in length. Their secondary structure includes four short double-helical elements and three loops (D, anti-codon, and T loops). Further hydrogen bonds mediate the characteristic L-shaped molecular structure. tRNAs have two regions of fundamental functional importance: the anti-codon, which is responsible for specific mRNA codon recognition, and the 3' end, to which the tRNAs corresponding amino acid is attached (by aminoacyl-tRNA synthetases). tRNAs cope with the degeneracy of the genetic code in two manners: having more than one tRNA (with a specific anti-codon) for a particular amino acid; and 'wobble' base-pairing, i.e. permitting non-standard base-pairing at the 3rd anti-codon position.
Source: RNAcentral
GCCUCCGUGGUCUAGGGGACAAUGAUUCGGCCCUUUCGAGGCUGAGACCCGGGUUCGAAUCCCGGCGGGGGCA